Acanthosepion pharaonis is the source of this 112-nucleotide non-coding RNA. The record is from the annotation of a GenBank genome assembly. Lineage: Eukaryota; Metazoa; Mollusca; Cephalopoda; Sepiida; Sepiidae.
UUACGGCCACAUCGCGUUGAAGCAUUGGUCCCCGUAUGAUCACUGAAGUUAAGCAACUUCGAGCGUGGUCAAUACCUAGAUGGUGAACGGUUGGGAAUACCAGGUACUGUAG